GUAAAUACAUGAUGAUGAUGAGGAGGAGGAUACUGAGAAAGAGUGUAUUUUAAAAUAAUGUUUUAUACCACUGAGUGUUAUUUUUUUCCUCUUUAUUUACAUCACCAAUACUUUGCUUCUUAAUGACAUUUGAGUUUUCGUCGAGAUUAAAAUGAAGUAAACAAAGUCAUAAUUAUUCUCUCUCGCUCGCUAGUGAUGUCGGGUACUGCAGGCCAUAACUUGUAAUAAUUUCAGUACAAACUCACCAAACGUGUUGGGACCAGCGCCAAGUGGCAAAGCUUCAGCCCUCGUUUUCUUUUUCCUCACUUCCCUCCUUCAUCUCUUCCACAUCCCGCCACCUUCCUGCCCAAUUACCCAGAGUUGAGGAAUGUGCUUGUUUGUGUCUUGGGCAGGAGUUUGGAAUUAAAAGGUGGCACAGGUGAGAAGCCAUACCGACACCUGUUGGAGAUUAAGCUGACACUUCGGUACAUCAACAAGGGGCCUUAAUUAGGUGGGGGGGAGGAGAGAGAACCUCUAAGUUUGGUAUACUUGUGUAAGUCCGUCAGUUCUUUCAUGUAGUUCUGUUCUACCUGUUCUACACUGGAGCUGUCACAGAUCAAGAUCACGGGAUAUAAUUAUGUUUCGCAAUGUGAUUUUGUUUCUGUGACAAUGCUCAAAACAUUGUAAUCAAUAAACGAGAUAAAGUGGGAGGUAAAUAAUAAUAAUAAUAAAAAAAAGAGCAGACGAAGCAGAAAAUUCGACAUUGACAAAAAAAGUUGUGUGCUCUGAAACUAUUUGCCCCCUGACUACUAUCUUCUCUGUUUCAGUUCAGUUACGAUGCUUCUACCCGAGUCUUAUCUCAUCUAAGGGGAGGCAAUGCUCCCGAGCUCGGUCUCGUGCACAGAUUUUGUAAAAAAAAAAAAAAAUACACAACACGAACUCUCUUGACAGCUUGCGUGCUGUCUGUGCUUUUUGUAUGCGUCUGUGCGUGUUUUGUUUGUCUGCAUUUAGAUGUUUAUGAGUGUAUGUUUAUGUGUGCGUGUGUGCGCGUGCGUACGUCAGAGAGUGUGAGUAUGAAUAUAUCUUUAGGUAUAUUUGAGUGCAUGUUUCUUUUGUGUGUGUGUGUGCACGUGAGUGUUCAAGAGAGGGUAUAUUUGUGUGUGUACGUGUAAGACUUUGUCUAUGUGUGUACAUGUACAUGUUUCUCUUUGUGUGCGUUUGAGAUAGAGAGAGUGUGUGUGUGUGUGAGAGAAGUUACCUACUCAGCCUUUGUUGGUCUAACGCCAGGUGGCGUGCAAGACCACGUGCUGUAAACAUGUUUUGUUUUCACCAGGACAUCGUUGUCUGUCAUCUUGUGUCUUGCUGCAGCUGCUGUACAGCGAUGCAGGUCCUUACCGCUCACGUGAGGCCCUGUCGUCAGCUGCAACGCCUUCACGAGACAUCCUCCCAUGACAAGACACAAAGGUCGUGACAUACCGACCUUCCCUUACCAUUGCUAGCGAUCUACCACUGCUACCUUCAGUGAUUUUUUAUCUCUUCCUCCCUCCAUUGCCGUUCAACGAUACACUUUGACUGUUAGUCUAACUACUGUAACUUUUCUGAGUCUGAUAAUUUUCGCGACUGGUGUAGCCUGUAGAACUAUCGCAAAAUCUUCUCUCUUGUCCUCACACUUCAUCUCUAGACAUCUUUGUCCGAAAAACACGGGCCAGAGAUGGUCAAGACAUGGAGUGUGACAGCUGAGUGCUACCUAUUCUGCCGGGCAGUGUGAGUUUGUAUACGAGUCUUUAGUCGUGGUUGUCAGCCAUGCUAAAUUCAGUAGACGAGGAGGAGAAAGACACUAUCAAGAAGAAAGAAAAGGACAGAUGGAGGAUGAAGCGGAACAGGAGGUAGAGGAGUUCUCUUUGAUCUUCCUUGUGUCGGCCAGCACGUGUUCCCGGCCUCGUCCACGAGCUCUCAGACCACGAAAACUUGCGGCAACUGCUCCUCCUUUUUAUUUAUUUAUUUAUUCAUUUAUUUCCUUCGCACCAUCUAUGCAUGCAGAGUGUCACCGUUCUCAUCUGAAACAGGUUCUUCGGUACUGAAUCUCUUCGAUCAAACAGUUUUCAAGAUUUUCAUCAUCAGUUAAGUUGUUCUCUUUGUUAUAAUUUGAAUAUGCUUAUGCUGAAAUAAGCGAUUUUGAGGGACUAAAAGGAACUGGAAUUUAUAAAGAAAUAAAAAAGCAGCAAUGCAUGAAUGUAAAAAUAUUCAUUAUUAAUAAUGUAAUGUGCACAUACACGGUCAUGCAAAUGUUCUUAUAAAUUAUAAACAAGUUUCAGUGAUAUCUAAAUAAUGAAAGUAAGAUUAAACAAUCUAAAAUUAUUAAGAUUAUGGAUUGGUUUGUGUCAUAACAGAGCCCUCAGGAACAUACUUUCUGUGAAAUGUGCAUAACACGAGUCUGGAGGCACAGGUCUUCUUCAGCCCUCAGAUUUUUAAAAUGUUUUUACACCUGCGAAGAUAAGAGACUUUAAACAUUUUUUUUCAAGAUUCAAGAUAUUUUAUUCUUUUGCCACCAUAAAGGGGAACUGAGAAAAUGCAAAAAUUACAUUAUUUAAUUAUUUUUAAUCCAGUAUCGCGGUCUCUUAACCUCCUUCUCUCUCUCUCUCCAGCUCCAAGCUCCUCGAUCACCAAUAUCGAAAUUUUCAUUUCAGUUUCAUAGCUUUAAUAUUGAUAAAAAAAAUUUUAAGUUCCCAUUUAAAUUCUCUACCUCUCUUUAUUUUCUCUCUCAGUCAUUUCCCAAAAGAGUUCUCACCCAAACCAUUUUUCACAUCAGUAUCAUAUCUUCUAUCACAAUAAUAACUUCCCACUUACUCACUAGACCUGAAGUGCCCCAUCGGCCAUCUCCCAGCUCGGCCAGCCUGUAAUCAGAUGCAGGCUUGACGUGCAUACUCACCCCGGGCACGGUGGGGAGCACUGAACGACCUUCGACCUCUGACAGGGACAGAGGACAGUGUCACCAACGGCGUCCGGCCGUCGCCGGCGGUCAUCCCGUCCCUCGACACACACUGACCCCAGUCACCCUCUGAUAGUCACGAGCUUCUUACUUUGUGUCUAAUGGCAUCUUCCUUUCUUUCUUUUAAUCAGAGGAAAGGUAAGCUGCGAGCUGGUCCUCUGGUAAGAUUGUCUCAUACUUUACCGUUUAUUGUUUCAGUUUAAAAUAGUCGUUAGAGAACGAUGUUUGAACAUCAGUCUGGUCUGACAUUGUGAAGUCUUGUUCUUAAGCUUCUAACAAUGUUUGGUUUCAAUGGAAACAUCACAUAAAUUUGUGGAAUAUAUUGUAAUUAAACAUUAUUCUAUCAUUGUUAGGAUUCAAACAGAGGGUAUGUUUUAUUGUGGGAAGAUAAACUGUGUUUCUUUGACUGCUUUCAUGACAUGUACUUCAAGGGUUUCGUGGUAAGAUUCUGUAUAAAUGUAAAUUUGAGGUUACAAGAUAGUUAAGUAGCUGUUGCUACAUGUAUAGUGUAGGUAUCUAGCGACGAGGCAGGUUUUAAAAUACACUAGCAUCUCAACAAUAAUGUCAUAGUUCCUUUGAGCAGUGUAAUACAGAUCAAGCGAGGACACUGAAGUUCGUGUUUAAUUAGCAAUAUUUUUAUUAUUCCAUAUCCUGAACUAAUCAUUAGCUUUUGAAUCUCCUUACACUGCAUUUUGCUACAGUGAUUUGUCUUUGAGCGCUAAGAUAAAUAACAAACUCUGAAUGAGUAAAGGAAAAAGGAAUGUUGCUCUAUUGUAUCCGAAACUAGUUUAUGAAAAUAUAGCUUCUGGUUUUACAGAUUAUUAGCAGGAAGGAUGCCUUUACACUUUCUAUAUUACCGAUUAUUGAGGUCCAGAUCAUGUUUAUUACUAAUCUUACAGAAUUCUGUUGCACAUUUCCAACACAUUACAUUAUAUUAUAGCCUUAUCUUUCGCCAGUAUUCUGAUUUUUUAAAAAUAAGGUGAACAGUCGUUGGCACUGUCAACAUUUGUGUCGCAUACUCAGGGUGUUUAGUGUGAGGUAUAGUCAUCAUUGUUGUUGUUGUUGUUGUUACACUUUUCUAAGGAUUUGUUCAAAGCACUUUACAGAAAUGAUAUACAGAAGUAAACUGAAUCACCAACAACCAUGUAGUUAAAUUCAGAUAUAACAGACACACUUCUACAACAGUAAUACCCGCUCAUACACACAGUAGGUACAGACACACAUCGGGUAUGUUCAUGGUCAGGACAGGGUGGCAGCGAAGUCGCCGCUCUGAAAAAAUGUGACUUGAGGGUGGAAGGAGAAUGAGAGUGAUGAAGGGUGACAGAUAAUUUACUCCGUUGAUGGGGCUUGGUAGGAGAAAGACCUCCUCAUCCUCGUUUAGUGUAUUUAGUGUAUUUAGUGUGUAUAAGUGUGAGGUACAAUCCUUGUACCCAUAGCACAAUAAUGCUCAUGCAAGUCAGUUCUCAGUGGCUUUCUUAGCUCACACCAGCUAGUCUUUCCAGGUUGUCAAAUAUUUGGAAAAAUUCGUCCAUGACUGUCUUUUGUGCAGGUUACAGACUUCUUGUAAACUUUUUGUAGUCACAUGUUUGACAACGUGUGCAGGUCAAAUCACCUAUUGAUCUUUUUAUUUAUUUAUUUUUCUAUUAUUUUAUUUUAUUUUAUUGUAUUUAUUUAUUUAUUUCAUAUAUAUAUAUAUUGUUUAAAUAGGGACCAAUCUCUACAGAAAACAACAGUCUCCUGGGAAAAAAGACGAGAAUUAUUUAAGUGUAUCAGGAGGAGGUUGCCCCGUGAAUGCCAACAUAAGGUCUGAUGAGUACCCGAACUGCCAUAAUGGUAGUCAUGUUCUCCAAGAAUGUAUUUCCAAGGUGGAAUUUAUUUGUGUUAAUUUUUCUCUUUUACAGAUUAAUGCAUAAUUAAUUAUUUAUUAUUUAUUGGUCAAGAACAACUAAAAAUGCAAGUAAAAAAGAGAAUUCAAAAGUAGUCGUUAUGUCUGGGUUGAAAACAGCUCGAUCAAUCCUUCAGAAGGGAUUAGCAUGCGAUUUGAACAUUUGACUUACUUGGUAAAUAAGCUUUUCCUAAGCAACCUUUCGCUCAACUUCCUGCCAGUCGUCAGCAGUGGGUCUGAUUCUCCAGGGACCGCAAAGCCAGUCGGUGCACACCACACCACGGACAAGUACCCCGGGUAACCCACCCCGUGGUGUCGUGCGGUGUCACUAGCCAGUCAUGGGUCCCACCAGGGACUAGCGGCACCCGUGUGUAGCAAUGCACGACCGUGCACCUUCCUCGUGCUUCCACGGUCUGCCGACACGGCCUCGCCUACAUCUCCAUAUAUAGACAUGCCUGUCUGCUGCGCUGCGCAUUGGAGACGUGCUGGAGGUUGUGGCUCGUGAGAAACAUUUUCUUGAUUAUCAUCCCCCCUCCCUGCUGCUUUAUUCCUACAGUUUCACGGCUCGCAUGGCGGACAGCUCCCUCCACACACUCACUACCCUUCUCCCUAGACCCCCGGGUGUGUCGGGGGGACACGGGGACACCAGUCCGGUCUGUGGCCAGCGCUCUUCUCGCCUGUCUUGUUACAGGGAUCAAGAGGUGCUUCAACUGCUUUGGGGUGAGAUUGGGUUGACACAUUCGUCAGUGUCACAGGACACGAUAUAUAUAUAUACACAUCAUAUUCUCUGGCAUAUCAUUUGUUACAAUAGUUCUUUUCCUAUUUCAUAUCUUUUCAAUCUUGGAUUUUUUACUUCGUACACUUUAGAAAAGACAUCUCAGUCUCUAUCUAUCCAUUCUCUCUCUCACACACACACACUUACAUCAAAGAAUGAGGGUUAUAUUAUUAUUAUUUGUGUAACAAAAUGACUAGCAAAAGCAAGUACAACUAGGACACAACACAAUGUCAGCUGACACAACCUGAACAACUGCGGGUGCAAGGUUGUGCCUUAGUUUAAAGUAUUGUACAUGCAAGAAUAUGUAAAUAUAGGAGUAUGUAAAUAAUUCAGUGUGUGCCUACACGCCCUGUAUUGAUGUGAGAUUAAACUGUGUCCCUCCCGUAUGAGGAGAAAUAAAUGUAGGAAUUUCUGGCGGGUGAUGGUCGUCAUGUAUUCUUCGAUUCGAAUGUAAUUAAAAUGUUCUUUUUAUAUGCUGUUUUAUAUUCUGCUUUACUUUAUUAAUAAUACCUUCAAACCAUCCCAGUGUGGGAAUAAAGAAUCAAUGAUGUUAAAGAUAAAAAUCAAGUUUCUUUCUUCCCGUCUUCUCCAAAGACCAUCAGCUUCAGAGGUUUGAUAUGACAGGCAAAGGACUGGUCUGUUUUCCAGCACUACCAUCGCCAUAGUCAGCAGAAAAACUAUGUAAUAUGCAACUCAUUUUAAACUUCACUUGAGAGCAGCCUUGAUAAAUGGACUCAGGUCGCAACAAAACACAUGUCGACCUACACUCAAAAACCCUCAUACAACAAACCAUUCGUAUUCUGUAUUCUUCGCUCAUUUCAGAACUGAGAUUCUGAUCCAUGAGUUGAUCAAACAUGUCAGAUAUUAAUAUUUUCCAGGCAAGAAUUAGAAAGAAAGGAGUAUAAAAGGUUAAAAAAGAAAGGAAAAUUAAAAAGAAUUUUUUCAGAUAAAUCCCUUUCUUUCUGACAUGACCCUGACUCACCUACCCGUAUUAUAUAUCUGACCCUGACUCACCUGACCCAGUUCUUGUUCCCACCCUAGUGUGGCAGAUAACCUGUCUGGGGUACCUUGCGACACUCUGUGAAAGUUACUGCUAGGAGCUGGCGAUCAAAGAUGUAAAGUACCCCUAGGUGGCUGGGUUCAAGGUCAAUGCCGGCAUCCGUAUGCAGCCGGGUGCCUGGUCUCGCAUUACUAAAACAUACACGUCUCGGGUGCACCCCUGGCAUUGACAAGCUGCCGUUGGCGCGGAUUCGAGAUUGGAAACUGUUUAAUACCUCAGACCUUGUAGGCCUAUAGGCUUACACUUUCAUAAACCUUGGGUAGCCUGACGGGAUUGAACCUCCGCCAUCCUUGUCAUGGACCGGAUCCAGUUAUCGGCGAAUAUUUACACUCGUCAUGAUCGUCAUGGAGAGAUGACCAUCCCAUAGGCUCAUCACAGAUGUUUCUAGUCCUCGUUCUCCAUCUGCACCUGCUGUAUCAUCUCUUAUCAUAGCCGCACAUCCCUGUUUAUUGUUACUGUUGUUGUUUUUUUUGUUGUUAUCUUUUGUUUGGCUAGAAACCUCUUUGCACUCUGGUUGCCAGAGGGGUGACGGGACAGGUGGUCUAAUAAUCCUUUGAAAUGUUCACAGAGACUGUUACAACGAAAAUAUCAGUCAUGGUCAGCUCAUGCAUCAAAGGUUAAUAGCCAGGUUCGCUGCUAUGCCAGUUUGUCUGGAAUAUUUAAGAAAGCUGUGGUUAUUUUUAUUGCCAGUUAACCCUCUUUCAAGUUGAGUGUUGGACAACAGAUUUGUUAGUACACAUCAUCGCAGUGGGUUUCUUCCUGAAGUUUAUUCUUUCUGCUGCUUGAUGAAAGAUUUUGUGCCAGAUUGCCUUCCAAGCCAAGUGAGUAAUCGGAUGAAGACCUCAUUUAGUCACACGCUUCAUACUUUUGUAACCGGAAAUAAAGAUCCAUUCACUGUUCCUGCAGAAUUAUUAACUCAAUAUUUAUUUAAAAAAUGUCACUACCUCAAAACUGAAUCACUGUCAAUGUUUUUCUUUGAAUAAAUGCUGAUGUUUGGACUGUGCACUUGCUGUGAUAGCUUCAGUAAGUCCAUCAAGCCGUGAUGUGGGUCCACAGACACCUGGCAGCGUGCCACUAAUUUAGUUGGUGACAUUAGCUGUCUGUGGCCGAUUAGUGUACACGUCUCUAACCCUGAUAAAGCUCGGCGAGACGUCACGCGCGCGUCUAUUUUUAGAUUUACGGGACUGCUUCCGAUAAACCGAAUGGUUCGCAGGAAUAUUUAAAGUCGUGGAAAUCGAGGAUUUUUUUUUUAUUUAUUUUUUUUUUUUUUUUUUUGUUAAGCUCAGAAAACCAGACCUCCCGUGAUAAUAUGACUUUAGCAAUGGAAUGCAAAUCUUUGUUAGGAAAUGAAAGCGCUCUAGAGAGAAUGUAAUAGAAAAAUUAUAAAAGUAUUACAAUCACAAAAAAUAGAAUAGAAUGAUAAAGAGAUAGAAAGAGAGAGAGAGAAAGUAUGAAAAUAUAAAGAAAAAAAUGACUAUAGACAGUCUUUACCGUCUUCACAAGCGUGCCUGUAAUUUUUCUGUUUUGUUUUGUUGUUUUAUUUUUACUUUCUUUUACCGUAGGUACUAAAAGUUGUCUCUAGGCGGACUAACCCAAAGAUGGCAUCAAUCCCUACAUCCAAAUAAAAAGCCAUUUAGCAGGUUGUUGUGAUUCUCUAUCGAGGUGCUCGUAGCUGGUCACUUGUCAGACUUUGGACCACACGGUCAGUCACUAGUGUCAUGGCACUAGACAGGUGUGACACAUGUGUCUGACCAAGCACUACACGGCCUUCUCAUGCUUUUUGUGACUGGUCGGAAACGGUGACCCAUCUUGCAGACUGAAAAAUUAUAGCUCAGCUGGAAGGCUGAGAAUGAUGAUUCAUCUGUCUGGCUGGUUUCACAAUUCAAUUGGUUUUUCGCUUUUUCUUUUUUUUCUUUUUUUUCGACUUGGGACGUUUCAGUUGAUGAUACAUUUGUGCGAUAGUGACCCCUGACUCAUGUGAGGUCUUUUCGUGUUCCCCACCCUAUUCCCCUCCCUCGGGCAUAAACCCCGGCUACUUGACUCAACUGUUUACAACAAAAAAAAAGAUGUACACUAAUAAGAAUAAACAAACUUUGAUCUGAUAAACUAAAAAAGCGAAAAUUAUGUCGCCAAAAUAAAUUGUAAAGUGAUACCACGUGAUCCUGAAAUACCUGUUUAUUCAGUUAUUUUCUGAUGUACCUCAUAGUCUUCUUCGCGCUCCAGUAAGCGUGAACUUUAACCUCGUGCCCACCAAAGCAAAGAGUUCUUUCGGUUCCCAUCUCUUUAUUAACAAAUGUGUAAAUAGCUUCACGGUCUGUUCCCUCCUAGAGAUGGCGGACUUGCUCGAUAUGUUGAUGAGAUGUAAUCAUUAUUGCAAUCCAGCCCAGUCCUGUGCCAAAACGUGUAUUUUGUUCACUGCUCCACAACAGCGAUUUCCUCCAACUUCAGAACCACGGACACAAAAUGUCGGCUGUUUUAACGGUAAAAAAAUCGUUUGAAUCGAAGGCGUGUGAUAAGUGUAGCGUAGAGAGGUAUGGGGUACGGGGUACAUAUCACCUACUUUUGAAAAGGUGGGAAGGGGACUCGUGCCUCACAAAAUGCAAAUGUCGUUGGACAGAUGACGUGAGCAAAUGAGGUUCGCAGCAGGUGAUCAAAGUAAUUACAUCAUGUAUUCAGCUGAGGCUGCAUUAUGUACGAGACCCUUGACACAUAAUCGAUGAAAGAAGUAUCCGAGCGGUCAACGGCCUGCGUGUGUGUGUGUCGGAGAGAGAGAGAGA
Pomacea canaliculata is the source of this 9465-nucleotide long non-coding RNA. RefSeq lists it as uncharacterized. Lineage: Eukaryota; Metazoa; Mollusca; Gastropoda; Architaenioglossa; Ampullariidae. The transcript has 2 exons. The record is from RefSeq and is a predicted model, not a curated record.